RNA transcript from Mus musculus (house mouse), 7005 nucleotides. It is a transcript of the gene named zinc finger, X-linked, duplicated A, with no coding region annotated. Lineage: Eukaryota; Metazoa; Chordata; Mammalia; Rodentia; Muridae. The transcript has a single exon. The record is from RefSeq and is marked provisional.
GCAUUGCACUUUUUUUCCUUUCAGGAACGUGUUCGGGCCCGCGGCAGGGGGCGGGGUCGCGCCUCCGCCUCGGCUCUGGUUCCAGCCGAGCCUCACCGACGCCGAGAUGGAAAUCCCGAGGCUGCUCCCGGCUCGCGGGACACCGCAGGGCGCCGGUGGCGGCGGCUGCCCGGCGGGUGGCGGCGGGGUGCACCGAGCCCCGGCCUCUCUGGCUUGUCAGGCCCCCACGCGCCGCCUCCUACUGCUCCGGGGGGCCCAAGAUGGCGGGCCGGGGCCGCGGAGCGCAGAGGCCCAGAGGGCCUCCCGGGGCCUGGGCCCGAGCCUGAACCGGUUGGCGCCGAGGCCCGAUCACCGGAGCAGCGGCGGCGGCAGAGGCGGCGGCGCUGGCGGAGGAGGAGGAGGCAGCGGCGGCGGCGGUGGCGGCGGCGGCGGCGGCGGCGGCGGCGGCGGCGGCGGCGGCAGCAGAGGCGGCAGCGACGACUUCUUCCUGUUGCUGCUUGACCCGGUGGGUGGCGAUGUAGAAACCGUGGGCACGGAGCAGGCCGGAGCGCCCGUGCGGAGGGAGGAGGCCGGGGCAGGCCCGAGGCCCGAGCGGCGCCAGAGCGCCGGGCCCCCAGCGGGCCGUCCCGAGCCGGGUCCCCGCUGUCUGUCUGCGGUCCCGGCCGCGUCCCCGCUUCCCGCGGCCGGCCCGGGCCCAGCGGCGGCGGCGGCGGCGGCGGCGGCGGCGGCCUUCGCGGGCACCAUCACCAUCCACAACCAGGACUUGCUGCUGCGCUUCGAGAACGGCGUCCUCACCCUGACCACGCCCCCGCUGCCCGCCUGGGAGCCGGGGGUCGCGCCGUUCCCGCAGCCUCAGCCGCCGCCGCAGCCGGGGGCGCUGAUCGCCCCGCAGCCGCCGCCGCCGGGUUUCCGCCCGCCGCUGCCGCCGCCGCCGCCGCCGCCGCCGCCGGGGCGCAGCUGGGCGACUGCCCCGAGCUGCCGCCGGACCUCCUGCUGGCGGAGCCGGCGGAACCCGCGGCCUGCCCGGCGCCCCCGGAGGAGGAGGCCGAGGCCCCGGCCGCCGCCGCCGCGCAGAGCCCCCGCGGGCCCGCGGGCCCGGGCCCGGGCCCGGGCGUGGUGCUGUACCUGUGCCCGGAGGCGCAGUGCGGCCAGACCUUCGCCAAGAAGCACCAGCUGAAGGUGCACCUGCUGACGCACAGCAGCAGCCAGGGCCAGCGGCCCUUCAAGUGCCCGCUCAGCGGCUGCGGCUGGACCUUCACCACCUCCUACAAGCUCAAGCGGCACCUGCAGUCGCACGACAAGCUGCGGCCAUUCGGCUGCCCGGUGCAGGGCUGCGGCAAGAGCUUCACCACCGUCUACAACCUCAAGGCGCACAUGAAGGGGCACGAGCAGGAGAACUCCUUCAAAUGCGAGGUGUGCGAGGAGAGCUUCCCCACGCAGGCCAAGCUCAGCACCCACCAGCGCAGCCACUUCGAGCCCGAGAGGCCCUACCAGUGCGCGUUUUCGGGCUGCAAGAAGACCUUCAUCACGGUGAGCGCCCUGUUCUCGCACAACCGCGCCCAUUUCAGGGAACAGGAACUCUUCGCCUGCUCCUUCCCUGGCUGCAGCAAGCAGUACGACAAGGCCUGCAGGCUCAAGAUCCACCUGCGCAGCCACACCGGGGAGAGACCCUUCCUGUGUGACUUCGACGGCUGCGGCUGGAACUUCACCAGCAUGUCCAAGCUCUUAAGGCACAAGCGGAAGCACGAGGACGACCGCAGGUUCACCUGUCCCGUCGAGGGCUGCGGCAAGUCCUUCACCAGGGCCGAGCACCUGAAAGGCCACAGCAUAACCCACCUGGGCACCAAGCCCUUCGUGUGCCCCGUGGAGGGCUGCUGUGCCCGCUUCUCGGCUCGCAGCAGCCUCUACAUCCACUCCAAGAAGCACUUGCAGGACGUGGGUGCGUGGAAGAGCCGCUGCCCGGUCCCCACCUGUAACAAGCUCUUCACGUCCAAGCACAGCAUGAAGACCCACAUGACCAAAAGGCACAACCUCAGCCAGGACCUCCUGGCCCAGCUAGAAGCUGCCAACUCUCUCACGCCCAGCAGUGAGCUCACCAGCCCGGGGCAGAGCGAUCUCAGUGGGGCCGAGCUCGUGUCUCUGUUCUCGGAUGUGCCUGGCCACGGUUCCGCCGCGGUGCUGGACACGGCCUUGGUCAACUCUGGCAUCUUGACUAUUGAUGUGGCCUCUGUGAACUCGAGCCUCGCGGGAAGUCUCCCUGCGGAUAAUAACAGCAACAACCAUUCCUUGGGGCAAGCGGCCGAGCCUCGGGCCUUGAGGGGGGCCCCCAGUGACCUCCCCCAGAGUCUGGAUACCUCUCUCUUCUUCGGAACCUCGGUGGCUGGCUACCAGCACAGCCCCUUGGACAUGGACGAUGUCUCCGCCGGGAACGUGGGGCUCUUUGGCUCCUUGGCCCUGAAAAACUCAAGCCUGGAGCCGCAGGCUUUGACACCCAGCAAUAAGUUGACUGUGGACACGGAAGCUCUGACCCCCUCCAGCACCCUCUGUGAAAACAGUGUCUCCGAGCUACUGACCCCAGCCAAAGCCGAGUGGAACGUGCACCCCGAAUCUGACUUCUUUGGACACGAGGAAGAAACCCAGUUCGGAUUCUCCCACCCAACAGGAAGCCAUGGGUCUCAGAAAGACACAGAUCUUAUCACGGUGACUGGCACCCCGUUUUUGGUAUGAACCGACUCUGCCUGUUCCCUGCCUGCCCUGUGGCUCACUUUGUUGUUGUUGUUGAUGUUGUUGUUUUUAUCACACUCAAAUGUGAGAAUGUUCUGGAAGGAGCGCUUGCUUGCCUGCAGUUGUUUCUUGCUGCCUUGCAAAGGAACGCAUCUGUGGAUUACCAAUUUAGGGAUUUCAGUUCUCAUCUUGAGUCUGGGACUGAUAAGUUCUCUGACUGUGAGCAAGUCUCUUAACCGAGCUGAGCCUUAAUUCAUUAUUUAUAAAAGUAGUCUUUUUUUUGUCUAGCUUAUUUCUCUUUCCUUUUCAACUGCAUUUCAAUUUUUUUGUACACCUUUGGUGUAAUUUUUUAGAGUAUUUCAUAGUGGUUACAUAUGAGUCUCAUGUAAUGAACAGGAAUGUGAUCCCUUUGAACAUUAAAUGAUCAGAGAUAGAGGAACUCGUGUUUUAACUUUUACCAUUUAUCUUACCUUCUUUCACAGUAUCCAUUGUAUCAGUAGAGUGCAAAAAUGUUGUAUUUUAUGUGGUUGUUUGAUGUUUUCUCAGUCUUCUUAUGUUGUCUUUCUGUAGAAGGGUUUUUUUUAAAAGAAAAAUAUCAGGGAUUUGAUAUAUUACAAGCAUAUUCUAAAAUAUUGCCUCGUUACCAUUGAACAAGUGGCCUUAUACUAGUCAUUUAGUCUUGCCAAGCCUUACUCCGCUAGCUUUACAGUGCUGAUAGAAAUGCACAUUAUUCUCAUGCAUAUUGUAUCUAUUGAUGCUUGAGAUUGUUACUGAAGGGAAAAUAUAUGCUUGGGCUUUUCUGAAUCUUCUUUAGUUGUUUCUUUCUUUCUUUAUUUCUUUCUUUUUUUCUUUCUUUCUUUCUUUCUUUCUUUCUUUCUUUCUUUCUUUCUUCUCUGCCUCCUUUUUUCCCCUCUUCAAAUCCUAGAGUACACAAGAUAGGAAACACAUGUAUCAUAGUUUUCAGCCAAUAAUAUAAGUAUUAUGCAUAGAUGGGAAUUUAUUCCUUCCACAAUUUCUUGAGGAAUUUUUCUUUACAGAGUUCUCAUUUAACACUGUUCACUGUUUUAUUCGUCCACUUAACUGGUGUCUGCUCUGGAUCAAAGCCAGCUCUUGGCCUGACUCUACUAUUCUGAUAGAAUUUGGAAAUGGACCAGAAGGUAAUAUUUCUUUUUCCUGGUGACCUCAUUUGUAGCCCUCUCUGGAAUGAGAGGUUUGCUAUGUAUUUUGAAAUAGAAAUACUGUCAAUCUUAGCAUGAGUGUAGCAUUUUAUGGUUUAUAUAGAAAAUUCAUAUCUAAUAUAUUUGAUCAUCAUAAUCUUGAUGAGAAAUUGUAAACUUAAACUGAUACUAAAACUUUCCUGAUGUAAAUUGAUUUCAUUUGGUAAAUAUUAAUUAUUUCUAUAUGUGUAGUUCACAUCAAAGAGGAAAUAUUUCUACCUCUCCCAUUCUGCUCUUCUGAAUUCCACAAUCACUUUGUUAAUGAGCAAUCCUUUUGUUGUGCCUAUGGAUAUCCUUGUUCCCUUCUGCUUUUUCUGCUCCCCCCCCCUAUUCCUGUAGUUCCUGAUAUAUGCACACCAGUGUGUGCUAUGCCUCUACUUUUUUUCUCUAAUUUUUCACUUCUUUUUGGUCACUCUUUUCUCUCACAUGAUCUAUUUUUUUAGUCACAAUAAUUAUUACAGUCUGUAUGCACCACGAUGGUAUUUUCUGGAUUCAGCUUACAAGUGUGUUUACAGGAGGCAGAUGUUAAUGGAAACACUUUAUCCUAUAAGAUCUGAUGACAAGUACCUCUUUCAAUUUGUUUGCCGUGUUUUCUACUAGAAAAGAGUUAUUUUGAAAUACUCAAAUUCAAUACUGUUUUUUGUGAGGACACUUGAAGAAAACACUUUUUUAUAGUACUUUGGCAAUAUAUAAUUUGCCACUUUGAAAUACAUUAUAUACUACUACCUUUAUAAUUUUUAUAUUGUUUGAACCCAUUUAGUAAAAAGGUAAUAAAAGUACACAUUAACUUUUAAUUUAAAGAAGUAUUCAGAAUUUUAGUGUGUCCAAGCAUCAAGAUUAUUAUUGACUUAGCACUUUGAAAAGAUUUUAAAGACUAUGUUAGAAAUGCAUUUUCAUGAGUUAAACAUUUCUCAUUUUAUUCUUCAAGGAAUGCAAAGACCUGAGGUAAACACAGACUUUAUAAGCAUUAUUAAGAUAUAUAACCGUAAAGGUAUUUUAAACCGUCACUUUGUUUCUUUUAAAUUUCUUCCAACUAAAGACUAUACUAAAAUAUUCUUAUCUAUAGACUGUAGAAUUUCCAAAGGAUAAAAUUUAAUUUCUUGAUGAUAAAAAAUCAUGUUGUUGUCUUUCUGAUUUCUCUCCAUACCAUUGCCCUAGCAUGAAUGACUGUAAUUACAGUGACUACACGUGACAACACAUAUAAUGAUCAUACUUCUGGUAAUAUAAAUUUGACAUUUUUGAAAUGAUGUCUUGAUUUCAUUUUAUCUCCUUUGCCUUUUGUGUUUCUGUAGUCUUUCUUGAUCUAUUAAGAUUUUCUAAUUGUAUUAAUAACAAAAUGCGUUAUAUGAAGAUUGUUUUCAAAGGGCCUUGUUUAGCCUUUUGAUCAUGUAAAAUAUGUUAAGCUUGCUAUAACUUGAUAUUUCAGUUACUUAAUAUUGUACUGUUAAAUAACUGAAAGUCUUGAGUAUUAUAAAUAAAACUUGAUGGAUUUUCAGGUCAUCUGUCAGGAAAUUUUCCAUCAUGGAAAAGAAAAGGAUUAUAGUGUAACAGGAUAUUUAGAAUAUUAGCUCUCUGGAGUUAUUCAUAAUCCAUUAGUAUUAAACCUAUUUAAUAAUGCAAAAAAUAACUUAUGGACCUUACCCAAAAUAUGUCAUAAUUGAAAUGUAAGACUGGACUACAUUGUAUGUGUCUAUUGCUUUUGAACACUGCAGCUUCUUUUCCUUGACAUUUUUUAAGGGAGAAAGGGUUUAUGUAUUCUCACAGUUCUGUAGCACUGUCUAUAACACUGGAGAGAUUACAGCAGCAGGGACCUCACGGAUGUGAUCACAUUAGAUACGUAGUCAAGACUAGAGAGACUAACAAAUGGAUGUGUGCUCAUCUUAAGCUUUCGCUCUCCACCCCAGCCACAACUAAGAUGGGACUCCUACGACAAUUAACAGCAUCAAAAUAAUCCCCUAUGGACCCUAGCCAUCGUUCUGGUGAUGUUAGAUUUUGUUCAGUUGAGAAUGAAUACUAAUCAUUACAGUAUGCAUUCUACAAAGUUCAGGGAUGAAAGAUCUCUUAUAACUGUGCUGCUUUAUGAUGUACAAAGUUCUCAUAAAUAGUUUGUGUUAUCAUCUUCAUUUUACAUUUGAGAAAUAUGAAAUGCUAGGAAGUUUAUGUGAUUUUCCUAAAAUCAUAAUUUUACAAGUGGUUGGGUUUGGUGUAGUUGAAAAAUCCUUCCAGAAUCCUGAUGAUACUUUAAGCAUAAUACACUAUUAUAAUGUUAUGAGAGGCAGAGACCUAGACAUGUCAGUCUCACCAAAUCUGAAUUUGUGUACUAGAAUAGACUAUUUCCUUGAUUAUUAAUCACCCCUGAAAUUGUUCUAGAAAUUCUUGCAACAAUGGCUAUAAAUGGUCUAUAAGAAGAGUAUUUCAAAACCUUCCAGAUCUGUUCAGUGGUCCAGAAAGAGGUUUUAAGAAUACAUAUCCCCCAGUCGGGUGUGGUCGCGCACGCCUUUAAUCUCAGCACUUGGGGGGCAGAAGCAGGCAGAUUUCUGAGUUUGAGGCCAGCCUGGUCUACAAAGUGAGUUCCAGGACAGCCAGGGAUAUACAGAGAAACCCUGUCUCGAAAAACCAAAAAAAAAAAAAAAAAAAAAAAAAAAAGAAAGAAAGAAAGAAUACAUAUCCCAGCCCCAAUGAGCAUAAAAUAUUCUUAUUUAUGUUGGAAACUAAAAAUAAGACUGAUAUAUUUAUACCUUCAAUUGCUCCUGAGGUAGUUGGAAUUAUCCACUAGAAAUAUCUUCUAGAGUAAACAAAAAGGUAAUUAUUUUUCUCAAGUCACCAUCAUUUUUCAAUAUAAAUUUUGUAUUAUAUUAAAUAUAUAAUUUUAAAUUGUUAUUUUUUGAGAUUAUAAAUACAUUAUUUUCCCCUUCCCUUUCAUUCCUUCAAACCCUCUCAUUUGGCCCUCCUUGCUCUCUUUCAAACUCAUGACUUCCCUUUUCAUGAAUUGUUGUUCCAUACAUAUAUGUAUUAGUAAAUACUUAAACACAAUCGGCCCAGUCUAUGUAGUGUUGCUUGUAUA